GAUGAACGCUAGCUACAGGCUUAACACAUGCAAGUCGAGGGGCAGCGGGAUUGAAGCUUGCUUCAAUUGCCGGCGACCGGCGCACGGGUGAGUAACGCGUAUCCAACCUUCCGUACACUCAGGGAUAGCCUUUCGAAAGAAAGAUUAAUACCUGAUGGUAUCUUAAGCACACAUGUAAUUAAGAUUAAAGAUUUAUCGGUGUACGAUGGGGAUGCGUUCCAUUAGGUAGUAGGCGGGGUAACGGCCCACCAAGGCGACGAUGGAUAGGGGUUCUGAGAGGAAGGUCCCCCACAUUGGAACUGAGACACGGUCCAAACUCCUACGGGAGGCAGCAGUGAGGAAUAUUGCACAAUGGGGGAAACCCUGAUGCAGCGACGCCGCGUGAGCGAAGAAGUAUUCGGUAUGUAAAACUCUAUCAGCAGGGAAGAUAAUGACGGUACCUGACUAAGAAGCACCGGCUAAAUACGUGCCAGCAGCCGCGGU
This 483-nucleotide ribosomal RNA is filed under the name uncultured bacterium. RNAcentral describes it as "bacterial SSU rRNA". It matches the Rfam family "Bacterial small subunit ribosomal RNA", at positions 28 to 521 of the family's 1533-position model. The record is from RNAcentral.